This 259-nucleotide ribosomal RNA is filed under the name uncultured bacterium. RNAcentral's name for it is "partial 16S ribosomal RNA". It matches the Rfam family "Bacterial small subunit ribosomal RNA", at positions 793 to 1055 of the family's 1533-position model. The record is from RNAcentral.
GUCCACGCUGUAAACGUUGAUAACUCGUUGUUGGCGAUAUACUGUCAGCGACUAAGCGAAAGUGAUAAGUUAUCCACCUGGGGAGUACGUUCGCAAGAAUGAAACUCAAAGGAAUUGACGGGGGCCCGCACAAGCGGAGGAGCAUGUGGUUUAAUUCGAUGAUACGCGAGGAACCUUACCUGGGCUUGAAAGUUAGCGACUGAGUGUGAAAGCAUUCAUCCCCUUCGGGGCGCGAAACUAGGUGCUGCAUGGCUGUCGU